AUUGCUGGCUGGGGCAUCUCUCCACCCACUGCCUGGAAAGGGCGCGGGGUGAGUGGGGUCUUCCGUGGUGGGUACGGGGCGGUGACCCUGACCCCAGUCUCCCUGAGAGGUCAGUCCGCCCCAGGCAGGGGCUCUGCGUCCUCACAGCGCCAACCUUCAGCUCCCUAGCGGCUCCACCCCGUCCUGGACACUGGUGACGGAGAACAGUCCUGGGAGGCAGGAGAGCUCGGGCCGGCGGGUCCCCUGGGGAGGUAGGUCAUGGACCCGCGCACUGGGGCUGCGAGUUCGUACCGGUGACCGAAGCUGAUGGAGUUACUUCCAGCCGGGGAUUCCUGUCCGCCCCCCCAUUCCAGCGAAUUAAUCCUCCCCACUUCUCCCCUAGUUUUGGGAACCUGGGCACUAAAGGAGUCCAAGAAGUCAAGAGCCUUGAGAAAUGCACUGUGCAAAUAUAUUGACUUUAUUUGUCUCCGUUCGGGAGCCUCACAGACAUAUCUAGGUAAAAAGAUCGUUAAAUAAACGCCGUCAGCCAUCGCAAUGCAAAAAUAAAUAUCAAUCCUCCGGCCACAGCGCCAGCUGCGCUGCGCCCCAAGUCCCAUCGGCCGCGCCUAACAAUUAUAAAAGUGUUCAGCGAGAGUGGGUCGGCGUGAGUGUGAACGGGUGUGCGCGCGGGGGGUGGCCGGGAGGGGUGGGCACGGUGGAGCGGUGUGCAAAAAUCGGAGUUUCAGACCAUCGGACAAGGGCGUGGAGCGACUCUCCGCGAAGCCCCAGGGACCCGCGGCGACUCAGUGCGGGUGCGCCUCCCCGCACACACUCACAGCAGAGUUCGUACUGGGAAGAGUUAAAAAAUAAACAUUUACAAGGGCAAAGAAAGGCGGCACCCCCUUCCCCGGCGCCCCGGCUUCCCGGCGCGCGCUCCCGCCCGGGGCGAGCUCAGCUCGGGGCGCCCGGACCAGUUUGCUGUCGGGUGAGGGUCCAGGCGAUCCCCCAACCAGGGUGCUCAGCGGAUAGGGGACCCCGAGUGCAGGGCGCGGGGCCCCCUCGGGGUUCGCACGCUGGUCCGUCGCGACGCGCCGCCCGGGCGCGCGAGUCCCGGCUGCGGGCGGCGCCGGUCACAGGGCCGAGUCGGAGUCGCUGGAGUCCAGGCUGUUCCUCAGUUUGCAGCCGCUGAGCGGCUCCCUCUGCAGCGACAGACUCUGCGUGCUGCGGCGCAGGCACUCCAGGCUCUGCAGGAACGACUUCUUGGCCUUCUCCUCCUCCAUAGGGGACGCCCCCUCCUCCUCCACCUCCUGGAUCUCGUCGAAGGUCACCGGCUGCGUCUUGAAACGGGACUGGCGCGGCCGCCGCAGCCGGCCCUUGCCCUUGGACAGCUUGGCGGGCCUCAUGGGCUGCGGGAACUCGUCGGCCAGGCACACGAAGUGCGGCAUCACCGCCUGGUAGCUGGAGCAGAUGCCCAUCAGCUCGCCGGGCUUGGCGGCCGCUGCGCCGGGGCCCCCCGGGAGGCAGCAGCCUGGGGCUCGCUGCGCGGAGGAUCCAAAUCUGCUGCGGGGUGGUGGCGGCCCUCACGGGCCCGGGUCGGCGCUCCUCUGGAGGGCGGGCGGGCCCGUCGGGGGGCGCGGGCCUCCGGGGCUGGGUGGGGUGGGGGGUGCGCUGCUCCGAGGCGCUCGCCGCCGCCGCUGUCGCCGUCUGCCCGGCGUCGGCCCGGCCCGCCGCUUAUAUAG
Long non-coding RNA from Bos grunniens (domestic yak), 1718 nucleotides. Lineage: Eukaryota; Metazoa; Chordata; Mammalia; Artiodactyla; Bovidae. The record is from Ensembl.